UACGGAGGGUGCAAGCGUUGUCCGGAUUUAUUGGGUUUAAAGGGUGCGUAGGCGGCCCGUUAAGUCAGUGGUGAAAGCCUCCAGCUCAACUGGGGAACUGCCAUUGAUACUGACGGGCUUGAGUACAGACGAGGUAGGCGGAAUUGAUUGUGUAGCGGUGAAAUGCAUAGAUACAAUCAAGAACUCCGAUUGCGUAGGCAGCUUACUAGGCUGUAACUGACGCUGAGGCACGAAAGCGUGGGGAGCAAACAGG
Molecule: ribosomal RNA, 253 nt
Filed under: uncultured bacterium
Lineage: Bacteria
Description: partial 16S ribosomal RNA
Rfam family: Bacterial small subunit ribosomal RNA
Source: RNAcentral